CGGGAUGAAGGGGAUACGGUGCCCCGCGUGCCUUGGGAGCACGAGCAAGUCGGUUCGAGUCCGACCUUCCCGA
Molecule: transfer RNA, 73 nt
Filed under: Planctomycetaceae bacterium
Lineage: Bacteria; Pseudomonadati; Planctomycetota; Planctomycetia; Planctomycetales; Planctomycetaceae
Description: tRNA-Pro
Rfam family: tRNA
About the family: Transfer RNA (tRNA) molecules are approximately 80 nucleotides in length. Their secondary structure includes four short double-helical elements and three loops (D, anti-codon, and T loops). Further hydrogen bonds mediate the characteristic L-shaped molecular structure. tRNAs have two regions of fundamental functional importance: the anti-codon, which is responsible for specific mRNA codon recognition, and the 3' end, to which the tRNAs corresponding amino acid is attached (by aminoacyl-tRNA synthetases). tRNAs cope with the degeneracy of the genetic code in two manners: having more than one tRNA (with a specific anti-codon) for a particular amino acid; and 'wobble' base-pairing, i.e. permitting non-standard base-pairing at the 3rd anti-codon position.
Source: RNAcentral